CCUACGGGUGGCAGCAGUGAGGAAUAUUGGUCAAUGGACGAGAGCCUGAACCAGCCAAGUAGCGUGAAGGAUGACUGCCCUAUGGGUUGUAAACUGCUUUUAUAUGGGAAUAAAACGUUCCACGUGUGGGAUUUUGUAUGUACCAUAUGAAUAAGGAUCGGCUAACUCCGUGCCAGCAGCCGCGGUAAUACGGAGGAUCCGAGCGUUAUCCGGAUUUCUUGGGUUUAAAGGGAGCGUAGGUGGCUUGUUAAGUGUGUUGUGAAAGUUUGGGGCUCAACCGUAGAAUUGCAGUUGAAACUGGCAUUCUUGAGUACAGGAGAGGCAGGCGGAAUUCGUGGUGUAGCGGUGAAAUGCUUAGAUAUCACGAAGAACCCCGAUUGCGAAGGCAGCUCGCUGGACUGCAACUGACACUGAGGCUCGAAAGUGUGGGUAUCAAACAGGAUUAGAUACCCUUGUAGUC
This 460-nucleotide ribosomal RNA is filed under the name uncultured bacterium. RNAcentral's name for it is "partial 16S ribosomal RNA". It matches the Rfam family "Bacterial small subunit ribosomal RNA", at positions 338 to 795 of the family's 1533-position model. The record is from RNAcentral.